This 433-nucleotide ribosomal RNA is filed under the name uncultured bacterium. Its description in RNAcentral is "partial 16S ribosomal RNA". It matches the Rfam family "Bacterial small subunit ribosomal RNA", at positions 30 to 507 of the family's 1533-position model. The record is from RNAcentral.
AGCGAACGCUGGCGGCAUGCUUAACACAUGCAAGUCGCACGGGCAGCAAUGUCUGUGGCGGACGGGUGAGUAACGCGUAGGAACGUGUCCUGAGGUGGGGGACAACCCCGGGAGACUGGGGCUAAUACCGCAUAUGGGCUGAGGCCCAAAGCCGAGGGGCGCCUUUGGAGGGGCCUGCGUCCGAUUAGGUAGUUGGUGGGGUAAAGGCCUACCACGCCUUCGAUCGGUAGAUGGUCUGAGAGGACGACCAGCGACACUGGGAGUGAGACACGGUCCAGACUCCUACGGGAGGCGGGAGAGGGGGAUAUAGGAAAAUGGGGGGAAGGAUGAUGCAGCAAGGACGGGUGGGUGCAGAAGGUCUUCGGAUCGUAAAGCACGUUCAAAGGGGACGGUGAUGACGGUACCCGUAGAAGAAGCACCGGCUAACUUCGUG